GUCCACGCCGUAAACGAUGUCAACUAGCCGUUGGAAUCCUUGAGAUUUAGUGGCGCAGCUAACGCAUUAAGUUGACCGCCUGGGGAGUACGGCCGCAAGGUUAAACUCAAAUGAAUUGACGGGGGCCCGCACAAGCGGUGGAGCAUGUGGUUUAAUUCGAAGCAACGCGAAGAACCUUACCUGGACUUGACAUGCUGAGAACUUUCCAGAGAUGGAUUGGUGCCUUCGGGAACUCAGACACAGGUGCUGCAUGGCUGUCGU
Molecule: ribosomal RNA, 261 nt
Filed under: uncultured bacterium
Lineage: Bacteria
Description: partial 16S ribosomal RNA
Rfam family: Bacterial small subunit ribosomal RNA
Source: RNAcentral